Molecule: ribosomal RNA, 253 nt
Filed under: uncultured bacterium
Lineage: Bacteria
Description: partial 16S ribosomal RNA
Rfam family: Bacterial small subunit ribosomal RNA
Source: RNAcentral
AACGUAGGAGACGAGCGUUAUCCGGAUUUACUGGGCGUAAAGCGCGUGCAGGCGGUUUAUUAAGUCACUUGUGAAAGCGCCCGGCUCAACUGGGCGAGGCCGUGUGAGACUGAUAGACUUGAGAGAGGUAGAGGCGAAUGGAAUUCCGGGAGGAGUGGUGAAAUGCGUAGAGAUCCGGAGGAACACCAGUGGCGAAGGCGAUUCGCUGGGCCUUCUCUGACGCUCAGACGCGACAGCAUGGGGAGCGAACGGG